GACGAACGCUGGCGGCGUGCUUAACACAUGCAAGUCGAACGGUGAGCGCCGGAUCUUGCUGCCUGCGGAACUGGCGCAAAGGGGUGAGAAACGUGUGAGCAAUGUGCCCCGAUCUGUGGUAAAAGCGGUAGAAACGGGGUCAUAUCCCGUAUACGACCCGGGAGGACAGUCUGGCCUGGUAGGAAUAAGCGGUUGGGGAUGGGCUCGCGGCUUAUCAGCUUGUUGGUGAGGUAGCGGCUCACCAAGGCGACGACGGGUAGCCGGCCUGAGAGGGUGACCGGCCACACUGGGACUGAGACACGGCCCAGACUCCUACGGGAGGCAGCAGUGGGGAAUAUUGCACAAUGGGCGCAAGCCUGAUGCAGCAACGCCGCGUGAGGGACGACGGCCUUCGGGUUGUAAACCUCUUUUAGCAGGGAAGAAGCGAAAGUGACGGUACCUGCAGAAAAAGCACCGGCUAACUACGUG
This 468-nucleotide ribosomal RNA is filed under the name uncultured bacterium. RNAcentral describes it as "partial 16S ribosomal RNA". It matches the Rfam family "Bacterial small subunit ribosomal RNA", at positions 28 to 507 of the family's 1533-position model. The record is from RNAcentral.